Molecule: ribosomal RNA, 301 nt
Filed under: uncultured bacterium
Lineage: Bacteria
Description: partial 16S ribosomal RNA
Rfam family: Bacterial small subunit ribosomal RNA
Source: RNAcentral
CAGCCGCCGCGGGAAUACGUAGGUGGCAAGCGUUGUCCGGAAUUAUUGGGCGUAAAGGGCUCGCAGGCGGUCUCUUAAGUCUGAUGUGAAAGCCCCCGGCUCAACCGGGGAGGGUCAUUGGAAACUGGGAAACUUGAGUGCAGAAGAGGAGAGUGGAAUUCCACGUGUAGCGGUGAAAUGCGUAGAGAUGUGGAGGAACACCAGUGGCGAAGGCGACUCUCUGGUCUGUAACUGACGCUGAGGAGCGAAAGCGUGGGGAGCGAACAGGAUUAGAUACCCCCGUAGUCCCUGUCUCUUAUAC